UGGGGAAUAUUGGACAAUGGGCGCAAGCCUGAUCCAGCCAUGCCGCGUGAGUGAUGAAGGCCCUAGGGUUGUAAAGCUCUUUCAACGGUGAAGAUAAUGACGGUAACCGUAGAAGAAGCCCCGGCUAACUUCGUGCCAGCAGCCGCGGUAAUACGAAGGGGGCAAGCGUUGUUCGGAAUUACUGGGCGUAAAGGGCGCGUAGGCGGCCUGAUAAGUCAGAGGUGAAAGCCCUCGGCUCAACCGAGGAAAUGCCUCUGAAACUGUCUGGCUCGAGGCUGGGAGAGGACAGCGGAAUUCCUGGUGUAGCGGUGAAAUGCGUAGAUAUCAGGAGGAACACCCGUGGCGAAGGCGGCUGUCUGGACCAGUUCUGACGCUGAGGCGCGAAAGCGUGGGGAGCAACAGGAUUAGAUAGCCCUGGUAGUCCAUGCCGUAAACGUUGGGCACUAGGUGUGGUCUCAACCAACGAGAUCCGCGCCGUCGCUAACGCAUUAAGUGCCCCGCCU
Molecule: ribosomal RNA, 503 nt
Filed under: uncultured bacterium
Lineage: Bacteria
Description: bacterial SSU rRNA
Rfam family: Bacterial small subunit ribosomal RNA
Source: RNAcentral